GUGUUGUAUUUCUAUGGUGAGCGAGGUAGCCAGAACUUAGUGUGUUUUAGGCCUCCGUUGGCUACGGUAGCCGCUUACUAUCAGGUGCAAUGCUAGCGGUCUUGUCGGCCUAGUGAUAUUAAAAUAUAUCAAACCAAGCAGAUUUAGUGUUCAAACUUUACUAUGGUUCAUGAACACAUAACCUGUACAUGGUUUUGAACUUACAAAAAUAAUUGUGUUUGCUCGCAAA
This 229-nucleotide unclassified non-coding RNA is filed under the name Melitaea cinxia (Glanville fritillary). Its description in RNAcentral is "misc RNA ENSMCXG00005019620.1". The record is from RNAcentral. Lineage: Eukaryota; Metazoa; Arthropoda; Insecta; Lepidoptera; Nymphalidae.